This 255-nucleotide ribosomal RNA is filed under the name uncultured bacterium. RNAcentral describes it as "partial 16S ribosomal RNA". It matches the Rfam family "Bacterial small subunit ribosomal RNA", at positions 162 to 417 of the family's 1533-position model. The record is from RNAcentral.
GGUAAUACCGCAUACGCUCAUAUCACCGCAUGGUGGUGUGAGGAAAGAUUUAUCGGUGAAAGAUGGAUCCGCGUCUGAUUAGCCAGUUGGCGGGGUAACGGCCCACCAAAGCGACGAUCAGUAGCCGGCCUGAGAGGGCGGACGGCCACAUUGGGACUGAGACACGGCCCAGACUCCUACGGGAGGCAGCAGUGGGGGAUAUUGCACAAUGGGCGCAAGCAAGGUGCAGCGACGCCGCGUGAAUGAAGAAGUAUU